Arachis duranensis is the source of this 371-nucleotide long non-coding RNA. RefSeq lists it as uncharacterized. The record is from RefSeq and is a predicted model, not a curated record. The transcript is spliced from 4 exons. Lineage: Eukaryota; Viridiplantae; Streptophyta; Magnoliopsida; Fabales; Fabaceae.
GCUGCCAUGAGAGGGGAGAGAGAAGAAAGAGUAAUAUUCACCUCUACCUUUCGGAAGCCAUAACUUUUGAUCCGGAGCUCCGAUUGACGAGCCGUUUACAGCCACGCGAAGCUCUUGUCGAGCUCUAUAUUUCUAUUCAAAGAAAUUUGGUGAUCUCUAGUAGCUGGUAAUUAUUGGAUUUUAUCCCUAAUCUCAUUGGAUAAGGUAGGCGGUGGCGAUGGGAUCGCACAGAGGUUAAGUUGGCGAAGGCUGUGGGAUACAGCGAUGCAGGUCGUAAUCUACUCCGAUGAGAUUGCGGAUAUGGUGACAGAGUGGAGUAUGGUUCGUUCCUUGUUUAUUUCUGUUUUACUUUCGUCAUAGUGUUCUCUCAC